Molecule: non-coding RNA, 26 nt
Filed under: Rattus norvegicus (Norway rat)
Lineage: Eukaryota; Metazoa; Chordata; Mammalia; Rodentia; Muridae
Source: RNAcentral
UUAAAACGGAACCCAGAAGUGAUUGC